This is a non-coding RNA of Pelobates cultripes (western spadefoot toad), 321 nucleotides long. Lineage: Eukaryota; Metazoa; Chordata; Amphibia; Anura; Pelobatidae. The record is from the annotation of a GenBank genome assembly.
GGAAUCCAUUCCCCCACGUUCCUCUCAGAGAUUACCAAUAGCCAUCCAACUGUUCAUCCUUAUCGGACCUAUUAGAUCUACAACCAUUCAAUUAUACUACCAAGUCGGCCAUUACCAGCCAUGCACAUUGGCCAGAGAAUCCACUACCAUCACCACCACUCAGACAGAUCAUUGUCUUCAACGAUCCCACGUACGUAAACACAUAUAUCAUUACCUACUGGCUCUACCACAUUCCUAAAUAAGUCAACAUGCACCAACAGUAGAGAUAACAUACUAUCCUACCCACAACAAAUGGUGCCCACUUUCGGUCCUAGAUUCCUA